UACGGAGGGUGCAAGCGUUAUCCGGAUUUACUGGGUUUAAAGGGUGCGUGGGCGGGCCUUUAAGUCAGUGGUGAAAUCUCCCCGCUCAACGGGGAAACUGCCAUUGAUACUAUUGGUCUUGAAUUUAGUUGAGGUGGGCGGAAUGUGUCGUGUAGCGGUGAAAUGCUUAGAUAUGACAUAGAACACCAAUUGCGAAGGCAGCUGGCUACACGAAUAUUGACACUGAUGCACGAAAGCGUGGGGAUCAAACAGG
RNAcentral lists this ribosomal RNA (253 nucleotides) under uncultured bacterium. RNAcentral describes it as "partial 16S ribosomal RNA". It matches the Rfam family "Bacterial small subunit ribosomal RNA", at positions 524 to 776 of the family's 1533-position model. The record is from RNAcentral.